RNAcentral lists this non-coding RNA (147 nucleotides) under pig gut metagenome. The record is from RNAcentral.
UCUUGCCGAGGUGAAAAGGGAACACGGUGUAAAUCCGCGACAGCCCCCGCUGCUGUAACACGCAACGCAAAGCCAAAUGCCACUGAUAUUUCGGGAAGGCGGUUUUUGCGGUUUGAGCGUGAAGUCAGAAGACCUGCCUUUAUGAUU